CCCGCGCGGCGCGGGCGCUUCCGGGGACGUGUCUGAGGGCGAUGGCGGCCGGGGCGGGCGCGGCGCCGGCCGGGGAGGCGGACGAGCUCUUCGACCUCCGCAACAACUUCUACAUCGGCGCCUUCCAGGCCGCCAUUAACGAGGCGCAGCGCGCCAAGCCCAGCAGCCCCCAGCAGGAGGCCGAGCGGGACGUGUUCCUGUUCCGAGCCUACAUCGCCCAGCGGAAGUUCGGGGUGGUUCUGGACGAGCUCCGUGGCAGCCCCAGCCCCGAGCUGCAGUCCGUGCGGAUGUUUGCCCAGUUCCUGGCCAGCGACAGCCAGAGCCAGAGGGACUCCAUCGUGGCAGAGCUGGACAAGAAGAUGGCCAAGAGCGUGGAUGUCACCAACAGCACCUUCCUGCUGAUGGCAGCGUCCAUCUACUGCCACCAGCAGGACCCCGACGCUGCCCUGCGGGCCCUGCACCAGGGGGACAGCCUGGAAUGCCUGGCCAUGAUGAUCCAGAUCCUGCUGAAGCUCGACAGGCUCGACCUGGCCAGGAAGGAGCUGAAGAAGAUGCAGGAGCAGGAUGAGGAUGCCACGCUGACCCAGCUGGCCACAGCCUGGGUGAACCUGGCCUUGGGCGGGGAGAAGCUGCAGGAUGCCUUCUACACCUUCCAGGAGCUGGCAGACAGGUUCUGCCCCUCGCUGCUGCUGCUCAACGGGCAGGCGGCCGCUGCCAUGGCCCAGGGCCGCUGGGACGAGGCCGAGGGGCUGCUCCAGGAGGCUCUGGACAAGGACAGCGGGCACCCCGAGACUCUGCUCAACCUGGUGGUGCUGAGCCAGCACCUGGGCAAGGGCCCCGAGGUCACCAAUCGUUACCUGUCCCAGCUGAAGGAUGCUCACAAAAACCAUCCCUUCAUCCAGGAGUACCAGGCCAAGGAGAACGAGUUUGACCGCCUGGCUCUGCAGUAUGCACCCAGUGCCUGAGCCUGGGAGCCAGAAAAUCCCUUGGGAACCCAAAAAAUCCACUUUGGAACCCAAAAAAUCCCUUUGGAACCCAAAAAAUCCCUUGGGAACCCAAAAAAUCCACUUUGGAACCCAAAAAAAUCCACUUUGGAACACAAAAAAUCCCUUGGGAACCCAAAAAAUCCACUUUGGAACACAAAAAAUCCACUUUGGAACCCAAAAAAUCCCUUGGGAACCCAAAAAAAUCCACUUUAGAACCGAGAAAUCCCCUCUGGGACAGGGAAAAUUCCCCCUGGAACCCAAAAAAUCCUUUCUGGAACCUAAAAAAAUCCCCUCUGGGACCCAGAAAAUCCCCUCUGGAACCCAGAAAUUCCCUCUGGGACCCAGAAAAUUCCCUCUGGGACCCAGAAAAUUCUCCCAGAAACAAAAAAAAAUCCCCUCUGGAGCAGGGAAAAUCCCUUCUGGAACAGAGAAAUCCCCCCUGGGACACAAAAAAUCCCCCCUGGGACCCAAAAAAUCCCUUUGGAAUCCAGAAAAUCCCUUCUGGGACAGGGAAAAUCCUGUCUGGAACAGAGAAAUCCCCUCUGGAACUCAGAAAAUCCCCCUGGGACAGAAAAAAUUCCUUCUGGAACCUAAAAAUCCUCUCUGGGACAGGGAAAAUUCCCCCUGGAACCCAAAAAAUCCCACCUGGAACCUAAAAAAAUCCCCUCUGGGACCCAAAAAAUCCCCUCUGGAACCCAAAAAAUCCUCCCUGGAACACAAAAAAAUCCCUUUGGAAUCCAGAAAAUCCUCUCUGGAACCCACAAAUUCCCUCUGGGACCAAAAAAAUCCCCCCUGGAACUCAGAAAAUUCCCUCUGGAAGCAAAAAAAUUCCCCCUGGGACCCAAAAAAUCCCUUCUGGAACCCAAAAUUCCCCCCUGGAACACAAAAAAUUCCCCCCUGGAAUCCCAAAAUCCCCCCUGGGACCCAAAAAAUCCUCUCUGGAACCCAAAAAAUUCCCCUGGGACCCAAAAAAUCCCUUCUGGAACCCAAAAUUCCCCCUGGAACCCAAAAAAUCCUCUCUGGAACCCAAAAUUCCCCUCUGGGACCCAAAAAAUUCCCCCUGGAACCCAAAAUUCCCACCUGCACCUGUGGGACCCCCCAAAUUUGGGGAUAAAUUUUGGGGUUCCAGCCCCAGCUGAGCCCUUGGCAAGCACUGGAAUUGAUUCCUGGAAUUCUUGGGGCUGCAGCCCUGAGGGGUGGGAAGGGAAAAUCCCAAAUUCUGCAGGGAUCCAUCCCAAAUUUCCCAAAUUCUGCAUCCUCUCCAGCCCUGCUGACAGAUCCUUUGGGGGUAAAAAAAAAAAAAAAAUCCCAAAGCCAGAGGGGAAAACCCCAAAAUAAUUAAAAAAAAAAAAAAUUUAAAAUAAAUAAAAAUAAAAUUAAUUUUCCUGUAA
RNA transcript from Haemorhous mexicanus (house finch), 2377 nucleotides. It is a transcript of the gene named COPI coat complex subunit epsilon, with no coding region annotated. Lineage: Eukaryota; Metazoa; Chordata; Aves; Passeriformes; Fringillidae. The transcript has 11 exons. The record is from RefSeq and is a predicted model, not a curated record.